AUCGUGCGGCACCGCUUAUAAUCCGUGUUGCUCAUAAGCCUCUUAGCACCAUAGGCUUGUUACUACUUGUAGUUGAAGAGCGUCAACAUAAGCGUAGACGAAAAGAGCAUCUUAGCACCCUUUCAUGACAUCCUGUUCCUACGAUGUUGUGAGGGUCGGGAGUUCAUACAUUA
Molecule: small nucleolar RNA, 173 nt
Filed under: Basidiobolus meristosporus CBS 931.73
Lineage: Eukaryota; Fungi; Basidiobolomycota; Basidiobolomycetes; Basidiobolales; Basidiobolaceae
Description: small nucleolar RNA snR35
Rfam family: small nucleolar RNA snR35
Source: Rfam by way of RNAcentral